UACGGAGGGUGCAAGCGUUGUUCGGAUUUAUUGGGCGUAAAGCGCGUGUAGGCGGUCUCUUAAGUCUGAUGUGAAAGCCCCGGGCUCAACCCGGGAAGUGCAUUGGAUACUGGGAGACUUGAAUACGGGAGAGGGUAGUGGAAUUCCUAGUGUAGGAGUGAAAUCCGUAGAUAUUAGGAGGAACACCGGUGGCGAAGGCGGCUACCUGGACCGAUAUUGACGCUGAGACGCGAAAGCGUGGGGAGCAAACAGG
This 253-nucleotide ribosomal RNA is filed under the name uncultured bacterium. RNAcentral describes it as "partial 16S ribosomal RNA". It matches the Rfam family "Bacterial small subunit ribosomal RNA", at positions 524 to 776 of the family's 1533-position model. The record is from RNAcentral. RNAcentral also lists the same sequence under 1 other name.